This 460-nucleotide ribosomal RNA is filed under the name uncultured bacterium. Its description in RNAcentral is "partial 16S ribosomal RNA". It matches the Rfam family "Bacterial small subunit ribosomal RNA", at positions 338 to 795 of the family's 1533-position model. The record is from RNAcentral.
CCUACGGGGGGCAGCAGUGAGGAAUAUUGGUCAAUGGACGAGAGUCUGAACCAGCCAAGUAGCGUGAAGGAUGACUGCCCUAUGGGUUGUAAACUUCUUUUACAUGGGAAUAAAAUGUUCCACGUGUGGGAUUUUGUAUGUACCAUAUGAAUAAGGAUAGGCUAACUCCGCGCCAGCAGCCGCGGUAAUACGGAGGAUCCGAGCGUUAUCCGGAUUUAUUGGGUUUAAAGGGAGCGUAGGUGGAGUGUUAAGUCAGUUGUGAAAGUUUGGGGCUCAACCGUAAAAUUGCAGUUGAAACUGGCAGUCUUGAGUACAGUAGAGGUGGGCGGAAUUCGUGGUGUAGCGGUGAAAUGCUUAGAUAUCACGAAGAACUCCGAUUGCGAAGGCAGUUCACUGGACUGCAACUGACACUGAGGCUCGAAAGUGUGGGUAUCAAACAGGAUUAGAUACCCUUGUAGUC